AUACUGUUCUCGUGGUAGUGAAUAAGUCUCAGGAGAUCUGGUGGUUUUAUAAGGGGAAACCUCUUUCACUUGGAUCUCAUUCUGCCUUGCCUGCCACCAUGUAAGAUGUCCCUUGCUCUUCCACCAUGAUUGUGAGGCCUCUCCAGCCAUGUGAAACUGUGUGCCUAUGAGGUGAACUGCCAUGUCUACACAUCCCAGUAUGAGUGAGUGCAGGUGGUGUGCACGCGCCCUGCGAUGGGAGUGUGUCCUAUUCAGGGCUGGUUCCCGCCUUGCGCCCUAAGCUUUGGAGAUAGGCUUCGGCCACCCUCAACCCUGAACUGGAAUAAGCAGAAAACCACAUCUGGUCAGGAGCCCAGUGUGUCCCACUUGGACAAGAAUAGAAAUCUCUCUUCUGGAAUAUGACCUGAGAUAUCCUGAUGAAGCAGACCACACCUGCCCUCAGAGAUGACCUCAUGAGGAAGCUGAGCUGCAUAACAAACAUCUCUGCUGCUCAGCCACCUCCACUCUUUUUCAACAGACCUUGGAGAUAGCACAGCACCCACACCAAAAAAUCAGGAAGCUCUCUUAUCAGCAAUCUUUCUGUACCUAUGAAAUCAGACAUUCCAGCCAUGGCAGAACCUCCUGAGUGGGCCAGAGCCUCAGAGUCAGGAAAAGCUGGGGCCUAAUGAUGUUUCAAAUCAAAUCACUCUGUAGGGGAUUUUCCAUUUAACAUAUUGUGAUUGUGCAGUAACAUUAGUCUUUGCCAUUUAAUUUAUUAAAUUUUAAAAUCUUAUAAUAUCCUCAA
This 784-nucleotide long non-coding RNA is filed under the name Homo sapiens (human). RNAcentral's name for it is "long intergenic non-protein coding RNA 2957". The record is from RNAcentral. Lineage: Eukaryota; Metazoa; Chordata; Mammalia; Primates; Hominidae.